UACGUAGGGUGCGAGCGUUAAUCGGAAUUACUGGGCGUAAAGCGUGCGCAGGCGGCUUUGCAAGACAGAUGUGAAAUCCCCGGGCUCAACCUGGGAACUGCAUUUGUGACUGCAAGGCUAGAGUACGGCAGAGGGGGAUGGAAUUCCGCGUGUAGCAGUGAAAUGCGUAGAUAUGCGGAGGAACACCAAUGGCGAAGGCAAUCCCCUGGGC
RNAcentral lists this ribosomal RNA (211 nucleotides) under uncultured bacterium. Its description in RNAcentral is "partial 16S ribosomal RNA". It matches the Rfam family "Bacterial small subunit ribosomal RNA", at positions 524 to 734 of the family's 1533-position model. The record is from RNAcentral.